This 660-nucleotide long non-coding RNA is filed under the name Anas platyrhynchos platyrhynchos (common mallard). RNAcentral's name for it is "lncRNA (ENSAPLG00000017364.1)". Lineage: Eukaryota; Metazoa; Chordata; Aves; Anseriformes; Anatidae. The record is from RNAcentral.
UUAUUUCUAUUAUUUCUAUUGGAUAAAACACCUUUAAAACAUCUUGUUUUAAAACACCUUGUUUGUUUGUUUGUUUGUUUUGUUUUGUUUGUUUGUUUUUGUUUGGUUGGUUUUUGUCCUGUUUACUCUGGAGAAAUAACAAUGCUGCAGCCUUACUAUUUUCUUUCUACUAUGACAGAAGACAAACCUUUCUGAAAAAUGUCGUCACACGGCUGAUUUCUGUUGUUGGACACCCAGUGGCCCAUCUCAGAGACUUGGGAUCAGUUAUUUCUGCAUUUUGGAAGUAUAUAACCUGCAAGUGAGAAAUACAAGGUGUCUAGUCCAAAGGGGACAGGAGUCUGCUAGCGAUCCAAGGGACAUUCCUUUAUGUGUUUAUGGACAUUCAUCAUGACUCCCUUUAGUCUUUUCCUCUCCAGACAGGACGUGCCUGGUUCUCUGGAACUUCAGUGGUAAGAAGCCUGAGGCAGAAAGAUGAAUAUGUUACAAAAGACAUAAAUAUGGGCUUUUUUUUUUUUUUUUUUUUUUUUUUUUUUUUAAGGUAACAGAGAAGACUGGGCUUUUUUCAUUGCCAAAGAUUCAAUAACCAACUUUCACUAAUAUGAAGGGUGGGAAGGUAAAUCAGUAAAUAAAACUGGUAAAACUACAAUGAGUUAUGAAGGC